Molecule: ribosomal RNA, 500 nt
Filed under: uncultured bacterium
Lineage: Bacteria
Description: partial 16S ribosomal RNA
Rfam family: Bacterial small subunit ribosomal RNA
Source: RNAcentral
AUUGAACGCUGGCGGCAGGCCUAACACAUGCAAGUCGAGCGGAUGACGGGAGCUUGCUCCUUGAUUCAGCGGCGGACGGGUGAGUAAUGCCUAGGAAUCUGCCUGGUAGUGGGGGACAACGUUUCGAAAGGAACGCUAAUACCGCAUACGUCCUACGGGAGAAAGCAGGGGACCUUCGGGCCUUGCGCUAUCAGAUGAGCCUAGGUCGGAUUAGCUUGUUGGUGAGGUAAUGGCUCACCAAGGCGACGAUCCGUAACUGGUCUGAGAGGAUGAUCAGUCACACUGGAACUGAGACACGGUCCAGACUCCUACGGGAGGCAGCAGUGGGGAAUAUUGGACAAUGGGCGAAAGCCUGAUCCAGCCAUGCCGCGUGUGUGAAGAAGGUCUUCGGAUUGUAAAGCACUUUAAGUUGGGAGGAAGGGUUGUAGAUUAAUACUCUGCAAUUUUGACGUUACCGACAGAAUAAGCACCGGCUAACUCUGUGCCAGCCGCCGCGGUAA